RNAcentral lists this microRNA precursor (103 nucleotides) under Marmota monax (woodchuck). The record is from RNAcentral. Lineage: Eukaryota; Metazoa; Chordata; Mammalia; Rodentia; Sciuridae.
AGUGGGAUAGCUGAGUCAAAUGGUGGUUCCAUUCCAAGUUUUCUGAGGAAUCUUCACACUGCUUUCCAGAGUGGUUGCACCAAUUUUCAGUCCUAUCAGCAAU